Molecule: ribosomal RNA, 255 nt
Filed under: uncultured bacterium
Lineage: Bacteria
Description: partial 16S ribosomal RNA
Rfam family: Bacterial small subunit ribosomal RNA
Source: RNAcentral
UACGUAGGGGGCAAGCGUUGUCCGGAAUCACUGGGCGUAAAGGGUGCGUAGGCGGAUCUUUAAGUCAGGGGUGAAAUCCUGGAGCUCAACUCCAGAACUGCCUUUGAUACUGAGGAUCUCGAGUUCGGGAGAGGUGAGUGGAACUGCGAGUGUAGAGGUGAAAUUCGUAGAUAUUCGCAAGAACACCAGUGGCGAAGGCGGCUCACUGGCCCGAUACUGACGCUGAGGCACGAAAAGCGUGGGGGAGCAAACAGG